ACUAAAUAGGACAAUGCAACUACUUCAAAAUACCACUGAUAAAAUUAAUAAACUUUCAUACAGAGCUGUGUUAAAGUCAUCUUACUAGAGCAUGGAUUCAGGGGGUUCUAGAUACUUCCAUGGUAAGUGUCAUUUCUGUAGGUGUCUUUGCUGCAAAUAUUCACCAAAAAAAAAACAAAAAACAUUUUUACCAUAGAACAGAUUGGUUAUAAGGCAAUUUUGGUGUAAAAGAUAAAAUAAUAAAAAAAAAUAGGAAGGACAUUAAAAAGGACAUAAUGGACAUGAGAAGUAUAUCAUUUCUCAUAAUUUAAAAGGUUUUAUUGAAAAAUGCAAAAUAUUUGAAUACGUUUAAAAUGCAUUUUCACUGCACAAAUAACUGAUUUUGAGUUAUAGUGAAGUACCUGUCUUCCAACUCAUCCAUUCAUAGUAUUUUAUACAUUUUUCUUAUUGAUUUGUCUCUUCAUUUGUCAUCAAGCUUUUUCUUUUUUGCUAAAAUUUCUUCCUUCAUUAAGAGCAGUAUCAAUUUCCAAUUACCAGGAUGCAUAUUUGUAAGCUGUGUGUUGUGUGAAAGUCUCUACACUAUUUUUGGUUCUUGGCAUACUGUCACAAGCUCAUUGAUAGAUGUUACAAAGUUCUAUGGGACAUGGGAGUUCAACUCUGCACCUUCAAAUCACUGAUGGAUUUGCAAACUAUGGUAUCUCUUUUCAGUACAAUACACAGUCUGGCUUUACCUUCUCUUAGUUCAUGCUCCUCGUGAGCUUUAUCACCGCAUUUUUGAUCAAGUCUGUGUACUUAGUUGUCAUCAGCCACUAUUUUGAGAACAGCAUAUCUACUCAUUGCUGUAUGGACCAUUACGAGGGCUAAGAUUUACGUAAUAUAAAGUGGGAGUAUUGUUUCAAUGGAGACGUAAAACCAAACCAUCAACCAGUUGAGACCAAACUGUCAUCCAGCAGUUUUAUUUUUUAUGGCAAAAUUGCCUUACAGCCAAUUAGUGAUGUGGCAGAAAUGCUUAUGGCAAAGAUACCUACGGAGAGAUGCCUAUGGCGAAAAUACUGGAUAUGGAUUCUGGGUAGUCCAGGACAGUAGCCUUCAAGGGAUAAGCAGUAAGUGCAACCUCUAUAAUUAUUUGGACCCUCGUCCCUCAGGGCCUCUGUUGCACUGUAACAUGGUCUUUAUGUGCCUUUGAGGUUAGCACUGUGUUAUUUCUCAGUUUUACCCCCACUGCUUAAAGAGACAUGGGAAGCAUAAAAGGAUUUUAAAUGUCUGUCUAGUUAAUGUAUUAACCGUGUGCCAGAUACUGUGAAUUCCCCACUCCACUGUCUUUCAAAUUCAUUUAUUUCUCCUGGUUUAAUUUUUCCAGUGUCUCCUCAGUGCUUUCUGAACGGAGACAAACCCCUCAGGAUGACUUACAGAAAAGCUUUCAUUAUGAGUGUGAACAUAGUGAGGACAGGGGCUCUGUCUUUUUUGUUUCAGCAUCAUUGAGACUGUCAACAGAGAUGGUCAACAUGCCAAUCUACAACAGGAAUAGAAGAGAGUUUUAUUUGAGUCAGACUGAGGACUAUAAGCCAGGAGACACAGAUUCAAGAAGCACCUGGAUUGUGCUGAGAGCCAGAUUACAGAAUGGAGGAAGUUUAUAAAAGUGAAAACCACAGAAUUCCACAAAUUGUUUCUCAAGAAUUUGCUGGGGGUAAGGGAAGCAAAAAUUGGUUGGGAUCAAACACAAAUGAACUUCUCUAUGAAACAGAAACAGACUCACAGAGAGAACAAAGUUGUGGUUGCCAAGGGGGAGAGAGAACUGGGGAGGGAUGGAUUAGGGAUUUGGAACUAGCAGAUGCAAACUAUUAUAUAUAGAAUGGAUAAACAAUAAGGGCCUACUGUGUGGCACAGGCAACUCCAUUCGACAUCCUGUAAUAAGUCAUAAUGGGAACAAAUAUAAAAAAAUAUAUAUAUUUGCUCCGUUUUGAUUUUUAAAUGCAUUCUUUUCUUUAAUAGUUAAAGCAGAUGGGCAAUGCAUCUUUAACAGGCCACAGACAGGCUGUUUCAGUUAUCCUAAAGUUUAAGUUGAAUCAUGGAUAAGCCCGAUUGACUUCCUCAUACCUUAAUAUGUGAAAAUCCUUCUAUCAAGGUGUAGUUGACAAAACUGUCUGAUAUUUAAAGUGCACAGUGUGAUGAUCUGAUAUACAUAUAUACAUUGUGGAAGGAUUCCGGGGGCUGUAUCUUGUCAUCUCUGUAUCCUCACUGUCAGAUUGUUAACUACUCAGUAAAAGUUUGCUCGAGUGCUUUGCAUAAAACUAUGGGGAAUCCCUCUUGGGCUAAUAAGCCUGUGAGUAAUUGGUCAGAGAGUCACGUUCAUGAUGCUGUGGGCUUGGGUUUGACUCUCAUGAGCGCUUCUUCACCUGUCAUCUUGAUAACCAGAGAUGGCACCCCAACCCCUGUACCACUGCCUUAACAGUGGGCAACCAGGAAAAGGUGUAGAAUAAAUCUUUGUGGGUAGAGAUGACAUUCUACAUGGAAACAUUUCAAUAUCCACAAGAACUGAAAAACAAAAACGAUAUCUAAAAACUCAUCAGAGAAUGAAAUUCCGAGUCCAGGAAAAAAAAACAAACCCAAACAAAACUUGAUGUGACAAAGUACAUCGUUGCCCCUGAGCAUCUGCGCACCAAGCAGCAAACAAACGUCUGGGACAGGGAUGGACGGACACACAGAAGGGCUUAAAACAGACUCGUCAGAAAGAACCCGAGUCUAUCCGGUUUUCAUUUUGGUUUCCAAAUGGUGAUUUACUUAAACAAAGUGGCCAUUUGACUGGCUGAAGACAUGUUAGGCUUUCUCAGAUCAGAAUGCCCAUAAAGCAGGGGUUCCAUCUGGACCCAGCACUCAGUACGGUUCACAUUCAAGUGGAAUUAGCAUCUUUUGAUAACAAUGGAAACAUUUUCCAGAGAAAAGCCCAUUGAAUGCCUAUUGGUGGAUCAGAUUUUCAAUUUGACUAAUAUUUAAGAGCUUCUCUUGCCUCUCUGCAGAAAAUCCAUGUGGAAGGGAAAAAAAUCAAGGACAAAAAUAAUGUCAGAAUGGAUAAUAAGGAAGGUAUUAGACUCAUAUAGUUAAGCUUCUUCCCUGGGCAAAGCUUGUAAAUUCAUUAGAGUUCCAAAGAGAGCUCUUCUUGUACAAAAACGUAAAGGAUGGUUAGUUUUCAGGUGUUUUAUUUAGUGUACAUCUCUAAUUUUAUGCUUCUUUUAAUAAGUCUUAAACUCAAGGAUCUGAAUGAGGGCCCUGUCUGUCUGGCUCUUGUUCUUGGCCAAUUGCAGCUUAAUUAAAAUUUAUUUUUAUUUCAUUUUUUCCUUUCUUUUGUUUUAGGGCCACAGCCAUGGCAUAUGGAUGUUCCCAGGCUAGGGGUCCAACCAGAGCUGUAGCCGCUGGCUUACACCCCGGCCACAGCAACGCCAGAUCCAAGCUGAGUCUGUGACCUACACCAUAGCUCAUGGCAAUGCUGGAUCCUUAACCCACUGAGCGAGGCCGGGGAGCAAACCUCGUCCUCACGGAUACUAAUCAGAUUCAUUUCCACUGAGCCACGAUGAGAACUCCCAUUUAAUUAAAUUUAAAAUGUUAAUAUAUACAUUAAAUUCUUCUGAUAAAAUUGGGUAGUAAAGAUAAAUAGAUCGAUUGAUCGAUCAAUUGAUGAAUAGAUAGAUAACAGACAGACACAUAGAUAUAUAUGUUUACAUAUGUGCAGGCUGGCCAAGAAAGAAAGAUUGUCACAUAAUCUUUCUCUUCGGUGGCUUCAACCCUACAAACAAACCUAAUAGAUGAAUUUCUAAGAAUAUGAAGCUUAAUAUAGCUGUUCAGAAAGGAAUCAACGGCCUGUUUACUGCACUUAUCGACAAUUUGUGAAAGAAGAGACCAGAAAUCAGUCUAAUUACCAGAGUGCCAGUUGUGCUUGUUAACACCAGCUUUGUGACCAAAUGUUAUUCCACAGUUGUCACAUCACACGAGGGUUUCAUUACUAACAUAAUAGUGAACAAGAUCACAUGAAAAGCUAUUGAUUGAUCUGCCACACAAAGGAAGGACACACUCGUCUCUAUUAUAACAUGUUACAUCUUAGACUGUAAGCAGCAGAUGUAGCCCCGCCAUUCCUUUACAAGAGAAGUGUAAUUUAGACGCUGUCCUGCUUCUUUAAGCGUUUGCCAAUUAGGGCCCCUUUCCUAUUUGCAUAUGUCAUCAAGGGGCUGAAGAGACAAGAAAUUACCCUGCUCUCGUUCUUCCUGCUCUUUAAGCCAGACUCAAUCGAUUCUCUUGAAUUGAAUCCAGGAGAUGCUUGGGGUGUGUGCAGUGUUUACUUUAUCAAUUGUCAUUCCUGGCAAUAAAAACAAAUAGCUGCUGUGUGUUAGGCUGGUUUCAUGUGUUUUGCCGGAGCCUCGGCUUAUAAUUAGGCAAUCUGGAAAGGGAAGAGGAAGGAAGCCAACCCCUCUUGGGGCUCUCUCUUCCCUGAACUGUCCGAGUUCCAUGGCAGAAAGGUGCCCGUGGUCCCAAGUGAGCCGAAACCAUCACCACCACAGUUCUUCAGGCCAGCAUGUUCAUUGUCUGUCUCGCAAACUCCACAAACCCUUUCACUCCAUCUGUGUUUUUCGAGGGAGCAGUCACCUUUAUUUUUAAAUGAGCUCGAGGAAUUUUAUAGCUUGGAAGCGGAUUCAUCGACCUCAGAGCAACCCCCCAAAACAGAUGGCUGUCUGCACCGUCUCACCCGAAGAUGCGUGAUGCAUCAGACAGAACGUGGGCUUGCUCCUUACCAGCUCCAUUUUCCUGCUUAUGCUUACGGAACAGACACAAUUGAAUGAAAAACAUAAAGUACUUAAAAUCCAUCUACCAUUAAUAGUUUAAUUAAACUGACACAUACUUCAAAAACAGAGCGACAGAAAACAUUAAUUUUGGUUAUAAAGGGCAUGGCAUUAUUAAAGUGCAAUUAAAAGCAACAUUCACUUACAGUUAACCGCUAAAACAAUUUAAUUAUUUAACACCGGAUUGUCACUUGUGACUAACUUCCCCUCUUUGAUGUGGAGAUGGUCUGAGUCCCUGUUGAUUGUUAUGGUUCGGUCCCUUGAAUUCCAAAUGCGGUGGCCGCCUCAGAGCAGCGCCGCUUUAUUCCAUCGCUGCUGGCUGGUA
Molecule: long non-coding RNA, 5154 nt
Filed under: Sus scrofa (pig)
Lineage: Eukaryota; Metazoa; Chordata; Mammalia; Artiodactyla; Suidae
Description: lncRNA (ENSSSCG00000046641.1)
Source: RNAcentral